This 323-nucleotide ribosomal RNA is filed under the name uncultured bacterium. RNAcentral describes it as "bacterial SSU rRNA". It matches the Rfam family "Bacterial small subunit ribosomal RNA", at positions 1 to 334 of the family's 1533-position model. The record is from RNAcentral.
CUACGUAGCUCAGAGUUUGAUCCUGGCUCAGAACGAACGCUGGCGGCAGGCUUAACACAUGCAAGUCGAGCGAGGUUUUCGGACCUAGCGGCGGACGGGUGAGUAACGCGUGGGAACGUGCCCUUUGCUACGGAUAGCCCCGGGAAACUGGGAGUAAUACCGUAUGUGCCCUUUGGUCUUGGCGAUCAUUGGGGAAAGAUUUAUCGGCAAAGGAUCGGCCCGCGUUGGAUUAGGUAGUUGGUGGGGUAAUGGCCCACCAAGCCGACGAUCCAUAGCUGGUUUGAGAGGAUGAUCAGCCACACUGGGACUGAGACACGGCCCAG